RNAcentral lists this long non-coding RNA (20887 nucleotides) under Citrus x clementina. RNAcentral's name for it is "Citrus clementina (C. clementina) long non-coding RNA (CCLE_LNC002919)". Lineage: Eukaryota; Viridiplantae; Streptophyta; Magnoliopsida; Sapindales; Rutaceae. The record is from RNAcentral.
UCCUCAUCAUCUCCAAUGCGUAUGCUGUACCUUUCCAGCUUCUCCAAGAGCAGGCCUCUGGGCAGAGUGCUGACGUCAUAGACGUGUAAUUCCAAAGAGGUCAAGUUGGGCAAAUGCUUCAACUCCUCAAGGCUUGCAUUCUUAACCCCUCCCACCUCCAUCUCCCAGUAACGAAAGCUUUGAUCUAUAUAUAGUUCUUCUAAAUGUGAUAAUUUUGACAGUAUAUUUGGUGGAAUAACUUCUAGAUAGCAACAAUCCCUCAAAUCAAGCAACUUUAGCCAAGUCAAUUCACCUACUUCUACCGGCAACUUCUUAAUAUAAGAACCUCUUAAGCAAAGGAUUUCUAGUUUCUUCAAGCCUCCUACAACACUUAUAUCGGGCAAGAUGAAGCCGCACAAACUCAGUGUUCGAAGGUUUGACAGGAGACCAAGUGAUGAAGGCAGUGACCGUAGAAACAUGCCAGUCAAGUUGACAACUCUGACCUGCAUCAUCCUCUCGAAAAAGUUGUUUGGAAUUGUUAAUGAUGAAAAUUCCCAACGAUCAGCACGUAUAAAAAGAAGUUCGAGCUGAGGACAUUCCAGUACUUCAGGAAGCAAAUUAUUCUUGAUACCAUGUAAGACGAUUGAAGUGCAAUGCUUUAUUGCACUUCCAUCUGACCAUUCCCUGCAACCAUCAACCUGCUCAUUUGUAGCAGUAAACACAUUUCGUUCAGUAGAUGCAAUUGAUACGGCGACAUCGCGAACUACAUCAUGCAUAGAAAACAACUCUUUCUUCUGGCUUAUAUGGUCAAGCAACAUACAAGAAGCUUUGAGUGUGCGCACCAAUGUAUGUACUCGAUUUCGUGCUACUUCAAUCUUAUUCACACCUUGAAAUAAACCCAAUCCCAUACCACACAUUAACAAGUCAUCAAUAGAUGCUAUGGCUGUAUAUCCUAUUAGCAAAAAGAUGUUCUUGAGAUCAUCCCUUCCUAGUUUAUUGUAGCUCAACUCGAUAGCUUUAAAUGCGGCUGGCUGUACAUCCUUAAAAUUCGAUGAAGAAGGCCUUCUUAGCUGUUCCAAUGCAUCCUUCCAUUCACGUAUGCUCUUGCUCCUUAAUGCCCUUGCAACCGUCACAAUGGAAACUGGUAGACCUGCACAUUCCUUUGCCACAUCCCUUGCUACCUCUUUCAAUUCAUUAUCUUCAACAUAAUCACCUGCCAUCUUCGUGAAUAGACUCCAAGCUUCAUCUUCUUUUAAAAAUCCAACUGGGAAAUUUUUUCGAGACUCCAUCUCUCCAGACAAUACUUCUUCACUCCUUGCCGUGAACAGCACUUUACAUCCCAUGUGAUCAUCUCCGUGAGGAAUUCCGACAUCCAACAAAUCAAGAUUUUCCCAAAUAUUAUCCAAGAUUACAAGGAUCCUCUUCUCUUUCUUCAGUCGAUCAUAGAGUCUUCUUGCCCUACCCGAUUCACUCUCCUCAUCAAAUUUUAGACCUAGUUUAUCCGCGAUUUCUCCUUGAAGCUUUCUUACGUCUCGACUCUCAGACACCUCAGAAAAAACCACCUGAUCGAAAAGCUUGUCACUCUCUGCUUUUCUAGCAACUUCUUUAGCUAGCGUCGUCUUUCCGAUUCCGCCCAUUCCAUAAAUCAAAAGCAUGUUGACAUUGGGAUUUUUUAAUGCAUCAAUUAUUUCAUUCAGAAUGGACGUUCUUGAUUCAAAGGCCUCGAAGUCUUUGUUAGGCAUAAGCAAGGUAUCCUCCGGAAUGAUGCUGUAGGAAAUACUAUUAACUGGUCUAGCGUCCAGGACUUUGACAACAGCCUCCUUCUGCCUCUCUGCUUCCUUGCUAAGUCGAGGGCGGGUCUUCAAAUUAGGACAUAACCCCUUGAAACAACGCUUAUUUGCAGUGGCUUCAUCUUCUGUAAAUUUAUCUGCCUCUUCAAUGACACUGUUGGCCGUUGCAAGCCAAUUCUCAACGUUCUCUUCAAUCUCUUCUCCUUUUCUUUUAGCCUCAUCAACCUGGUGCUCUGUAUUCACCCUCUCAGACUUUAGUUUCACAACUUCAGUGUUGAGAUUCUGUAAGUUGCUCGUGUACUUACUCUCACGCAAAUAGCUAAUUUGGCGAUAUGCGUGAGGAGCCAAGCACUUUGCAACUUCUAAAGCAAUAGUAAGAAUGAUUUCAGCCAUCUUCAGUCCUUUGUCCUUGUCUCUCUAUCUCUCUUUUUCUGAAUUUUGGAAAAACAAUUCAACAAGUGACCACAACAAGAUGGAACAAAAUAAAAAGGAAAAAAAUACAAAGAGUGGAUGGAGAAUAAAACAGAGACAGCGGCACAGCUAGACACAACUAGAUAGAGAACAGAGGAAAACCAAAUAACAAGACUUAAGAUUACAACAAACAGAGGCCAAGUAUUAUUGUUGAGAUCAGAAGAUGGAAAAUUCCAAAGAGUUGAUGGCAGAUGCUGAAUAACAGAACAACAAUGAACACAAUAAACAGAAGCAAAGUGUGUUUGUGAUCGACAGACGGAAGUAAGGAAAGCGGUUGUUGAUUGAAAAUGAAUGAAUGCAAAGAAAGACUGAUGUUAAAAAUUGAUGUCAAGGAAUAAUUGAACUUUCGCUGAAUUAUUGUUUGUGGCUUCUUUUACUGUUUAUUUGUGGGUCAUGUCUUUUGGAACUAAUCUUGUCCAAAAAAUGUUGUUUAUUUGUGGGUCAUGUUAUUCAGCAUCUGCCAUCAACUCUUUUGUUUAUUUAUUCAAAAAAUAAAUUGUGAUUAUUUGUUAAUGUAUGCGAUUACUUGUGAUGGUAAACAAAGUAGAUAUGGUAUAUUUUGAAGUUAAAUUAAAAAAAAAAAAAACAGAACUUUUACCGUUACUUGCCUUAUCAUCUUUUAAAUUAGAGUUAUUAUUCUUUUAUUUUUCAAGUUGCCAACUCAUCAGUGUAUUCUUUUAUUGAAUUUAAAGAUCAAUGAUUAUAAAUUUUUGUGAAAAUUUUAAGUCAAAACUUUAAAUUAAAAUAAUCUUUAAGUUAUAGGGAAAUAAUAACUUAGUAUAACAAAUAUUAUAUCCUAUACUUUAUUGCUACAAAAUUACGAAACCUUAUAGUUUCAAAAACAAAAAUUACGAAACCUUAUAUUAUAUUAUGUUUCCAUAUUUCUCCUUUAUAGUGAAGACUCAUACUUCUUAUCUAAUAAAUGCUAAAGUAUUGGCUUAAAUUUUUUAACCAGCAUAGUAGACCCUUAAGCUAUAUAUACUAUAAUGUCCCUCUUCUCUCACAGAGUAAACCAAUCUGAUCUCAGAGUGAGUUGAUACCAUGACUUCGCAUCAUUUGUGAUCAAAGGAGUAUCAUUACUAACUAAUAUAGGCUCCAUCAAUAGGCAUGAUAAUAAUUUUUUUUUUUAUCUACAAACGCUGUUUUUCAAAAUAUUAUAUCUUAAGACUUAACUAAAUAUUUUUUAACUAUGUAGAUAUAGUUUGUUUGAUCUCUUUUAAAUAGUGGAGAUUACAAACAAACAUAUGUGAAUUAGUAGUGAUGUUGAGUUCAGAAGCUUGAAGUUAAAAAAAUUAAGGGUUUCUUGAUCUAGAGAAAUUUCAAAUGAGUGAAGCGUCCUCGAAAUCGGAAGACGAAAAUAAGGAAAGGGUAAGGGUGUAUUUUCAAAGUGAUUCUAUUAAGAGAUCUUUGAAGUAGGGGUGGGCAAGUCGGGUUUUGGUUCGGGUUGUUCAAAUUUCGGUUUGGGUUUUAACCCAAUCGGGUUUGAGAAUUAAACUCAAUCGGGUUGAAAACGCCAAUCCAAACUAAACCGAACCAAAUUUAAUUCAGUUCGGGUUCAUAAUUCGGAUCGGACUGGGUUGAUAAUUCAUGUUAAAAUUUCGAUUCGGGUUAAUUUGGGUUAGAAUAAUUCAAUCUAAAAUUUUGGGUUAGUUCGGUUUAAAACGGGUUGGAACUAUUUAAUCCAAAAAUUCUACCAACAACCACUUAAAAUCUAAAAAUCUCAAUUCCAAACAUCCUUAACAACAAAUAUCAACUACAAACCAUCCUUUACAACAUUUCAACAAUAACAAUAGCAAUAAUAACAACAACAACAAUAAUAAUAAUAAUACCAACAACUAUGAAUCAGCAAUUCAACAUAUUGCCAUAUUCUAAAUUUAAAAAAACACACAAAUUAUUUAAUUAAUUAAUUAAUUAACAAUCUCCAAUUUAAUUUAUAAUAACAACAAAAAUCCUCUCCAAUUUAAUUAAUAACAGUCUCCAAUUGUUUAAUUAUCAGUCAACAGCAACAAACCCAAUCUAAUUUAAUCAUAACAAUCUCCAAUUGUUCAAUUAUCAGUUAACAGCAACAAAUCAUCUCCAAUUUGUCACGAACAGCCUCUAAUUGUUUAAUUAUCAGUCAACAACAACAAACACACUCCAAAUAAUUGAACAAUUAUUAAUUAAUUAAUUAAAAAUACCCAAUUUAAUUAAUAACAACACCCAGGAGCAAGUCAGCAAUAAACCCACUACAAAAUCCAAAUAUCAGUGUAAACUAAGUGUCAAACCUUGAUCGGUGGGAAGCUACAGCGUCGGCAAAGCGUGACCGUGUGGGGCUGAGUGAGACCGUCGACCGAGGGUGUGAGAAGGGAGAAGAGGGAGCUGGGAGGUAACAUGGUGUGUGUGAGUUUAUAUAUAUAUAUAAUUUUUAAAAGCCAAAACUUAAAAAAAAAAAAAUUUAACCCAAUCCAAACGCGCACCUCAGAUUACUUCCGUGUUAAGAGAUGAAUCCCACACUCUUGAGCCUUUGUCGUCCUAGUCAACUAUCAAAACAAAUCAUUAUUGAAUGUGAACAGAAUUAUUGAUCACCCAAUUUUCAAACUUGUCAUCCUUAUUGAAUCUGCAUUCCCUUUUAAAAUUUUUUAAAAAAGUACAAAUAAUGAAACAAAGUGUUGUUCCUUCAACAGUUGAUAGAGUUACGCGGCUUCAACUUGCAAGUGCUGUCGGCAUUUUCAAACUUGCAAUACCCUUCAACUUGCUUUCCAAGAUAGCUAUAAUUAAUAAUGACAACAAUCUCCCUUGUAGUGACUAGUGAGCAACUUGUUUCGUGAAAUUAACGGCAUCUUCUCUCACAUUUAAAAAAAAAAAAUUGAAUUAUAAAACCCACCAAAACUAUAAAAGAAUUGUUAGUUUUUCUUCAUUAAAAUUAAUAGAUUGCUCCUCAUAUUGAAAAAUCAAAAUUCAGAAUAAGAAUGAUUGAUACUCUUUAUUUACUAAAAUGAAAAUAAAAUAUAUGAAGCCUACAUAUUUUUGAAAUAAAAAAAAAGAACUUUAUUUUUCAUGAGGAGUGUUGGGAAUCAAGUUCUCAUUAUUUAAACUCUCAAUUGUACCAUUAUUUAAACUCUCAAUUGCACCUCACCGAAAUUUCAUAAUUUCACUUUUGUUCUCAAUUAAAAUAUUAUUAUAGUUAUUAUUCUUAUAAAUGUUGAUGAUGAUGAUACAAGAUAAUAAAAUUAAUGAUAAUUAAACCAAUUUGAAUUCAGAGUGAGUGAGUACCAUUACUUCGCAUUAUUUGAUAUCAAAGGAGCAUCAUAACUAACUAAUAUAGGCUCGAUCGAAUUCAUCAUGCGAAGUAUAUUAUCGGCUGUAGGUAUGGAAAUAAAUUUUGUAUCCACAAACACUAUUUUUCAAAAUAUUUUAAGACUUGACUUAGCAUUUUUUAACCAUAUAUGUAUAGGUUGUUUGACCUAUUUUAAAUAGUGGAGAUUACAACAAAUGAACAGAUGUGGAUUUGUAGAGUUGUUGAGUUCAGAAGAUUGAAGUUAACAAAGGGUUUCUUUAUCUAGAGAAAAUUCGAAAGAGCGAAGUGUCUUCGAGAUCAAAAGACGAAAUAAGGAAAGGGUAAGGUUAUACUUUCAAAAUGAAUCUGUUGAGAGAACUUUAAAGAUUACUUUCGUUAAGAGCUGGAUCCCACACUUGAGUCUUCGUCGUCUCAGUCAGUCAGCUAUAAAGACAAAUUAAUUUUGAGCGUGAAAGGACACAAUUGAUCACCAAAUUUUCAAACUCGUGAUCCUUAUUGAAUCUGUAUUCUCAUUUGAAAAACAAUAAAAGAUUAACAUUAAUUUAACUUCAUCUAGAUUCCCAUUUGAAUCUGCAUUCCCAUCCCGUUGUUCUCUGGGAAUGCACAUAAUCAAAAAAAAUCCUAUCCGCAUUUUCAAACUUGUGACCCUUCAAGCUUUCUAUGACAACUAUAACGAAUAAUUACAACAGUGCUACCUAAUAGUGAGCAACUUGUUUGAUGAAAUUAACAACUUCUUUUCUCUCAUAUAUUUUUAAAAAAUUGAAUUAUCAAAGUUUUUAUUUCAAAAUUAGUGCUAUAGUUCAUUAAUUUUUCAAAUUUUCCUUUUUCUUUCCACACAACAGAUUGAUUUGCCCUCCAAAAAAUGUAUUAUAUUGUUUAAUAUUGUAACUUCAAGAAACUUAUAAUAAAUUUUUAAAGAGAUAAAUAGAGAAUGUCAGUCUCCCAUCUACUCAAAAUUAAUAUAUAUCAUUAACUCUUGAUUAUUUUUAUAACAACUAAUAACUUUCUUGGCAGCAUAAUUUUACAGUAUCAUCCUUGUUUGUAAGUAUAUUUUUAUUCAUAUUUAUUAUAAAUUAAUUAAAUCAUAUCAAUGAAAAUUGAAAUAAAAAUUGAAGUACUAAAAAUUAAAAAAAUAUAUUUUGGUGUGAAUAAAAAAUUGAAAAUAAAAAUAUUUUUCUUAUAUUUUUUGUUAUUUUUAAAUUUUUUCUUAUAAUAAAUGUAUAUUUUAUAUGCUCAACUUUUUCUUUUAAUUUUUGUUAUUAGGAGGAUUUUUAGAUAUAAUGAAAUUUGUAAGGUAGUAAGUAAUAUAUAAUAAUUUUAAUAGAGAAAAGUAAAAAAUCUCUUAUUUUAAAAUAUAAGGAGAAAAAUAAUUAAUUUCAAGACAUUUUAGAAGAUAUUUCAAUACGCGGUGGACCACAAACUCGAGUCUUUGUCAUCUCAGUCAAACUAAAAGGACAGAAUAUUGAGGGCAUGGCUAAGGUGCAGAAGCUGCAAGUAACAGCUUCGAACUUUCCCAUUUCCAUCACCUUGCAUUGGGACCUCUUUCUUUGUCCUCUAGCACCCGUGGAAGUUCCCCAUUGGCCACUGUUAGGAGCUGUAACAUAGACUUCUCCGAAAAUUGAGCGCGAAGGGCUCAAGUGAUUGUUAAUUUCACAGCAAUUGCCUUUUUUCUUUCUUUUUUUUUUUCUAAUUAUUGGAAAAUAUAAUUUAGUAUAACAAAUAUUAUAUCCUUUCCUUUAGUGCUGCAAAAAUUCCGAAACCUUAUAUUAUAUAAAGUUUUCAUAUUUCUCCUUUAUAGUGAAGACUCAUACUUAUUCUCUAGUAAAUGCUAAAGCAUUGGCUUAAACUUUUUAACCAGCACAGUAGACCCUUAAGCUAUAUAUACUAUAAUGUCCCUCUUCCCUCACAGAUUAAAGCCAAUAUGAUCUCAGAGUAAGUUUGCUUCAAAGGAGUAUCCUUACUAACUAAUAUAGGCUCGAUCAAUAGGGAUGAUAAUAAUUUUUUUUUAUCUACGAACAUUAUUUUUUCAAAAUAUUAUAUCUUUAGACUUAACUAAAUAUUUUUUAACCAUAUAUGUAUAGUUCGAUUAAAUAGUGGAGAUUACAACAAAACAGAUGCGAAUUAGUAGUGAUGUUGAGUUCAGAAGAUUGAAGUUAAAAAAAUAAAGGGUUUCUUGAUUUAGGGAAAUUUCAAAAGAGUGAAGCGUCUUCUAAAUCAAGACGAAAAUAAGAAAAGGGUAAUGGUGUAUUUUCGAAGUGAUUCUAUUGAAAGAUCUUUGAAGAUUACUUUCGUUAAGAGCUGGAUCCCACACUCUUGAGCCUUUGUCGUCCCAGUCAACUAUAAAGACACGUUAUUAUUGAGUGUGAAUAUUCCGAGUUAUAAAUCACCAAAUUUUCAAACUUGUGAUCUUCAUUGAAUCUGCAAUCCCUUUUGAAAAAAAAAAAAGAAAAAGAAAGGAAAACUGCAAAUAAUGAAACAAAAUUCUGAUCCUUGAUAGAGUUACGCGGCUUCAACUUGCAAGUGCUGUCGGCAUUUUCAAACUUGUGAGACCCUUCAACUUGCUUUCCAAGAUAGCUAUAAUUAAUAAUGACAACCGAAGACGGCCACGUUUGCGGUACAAAAGUUGCACCAUAUUAGACGUUCUUUUUUGUUCUUAUCCGAAGUAACCGUUGGAUUCAAAGGAAAGUGAUCAGACAUUCAAUAGCUUCACACGUGGACAUUAUAGGAUACCGGUCAAAUCGGUUAGCGCUCCUCCACAUCAAACUCACAAGCAUGGCAAUCAUCGUAUUCGUAUCAGCUUGGAAACUUGUUACAAGUAACGAAGAGCAACAGAGUCCGCUCCUCUAGAGUCGGCAACAGAGUUUUAAUUAACGGCAUCUUCUCUCACAUUUUUUUUUAAAAAUUGAAUUAUAUAACCCACCAAAACUAUAAAGAAUUGUUAUUCUUCAUUAAAAUUAAUAUACUGUUCCUCAUAUUAAAAAAUCAAAAUUCAGAAUAAGAAUAAUUGAUACUGUUUAUUUACUAAAAUGAAAAUGAGAAUAAAAAUAAAAUAUAUGGAGCCUAUAUAUUUUUUAAAUUAAAAAAUAAGAACUUUUCAUGAGGAGUGUUGAGAAUCAAGUUCUCAUUAUUUAAACUCUCAAUUGUACCUUACCAAAAUUUCAUAAUUUCACUUUUGUUCUCAAUUAAAAUAUUAUUACAGUUAUUAUUCUUAUUUUUGUAGUUGUUGUUGUUGAUGAUGAUGAUUAUGAUGAUACAUGAUAAUAAAAUUAAUGAUAAUAAUAAUGAUAAUGAUAAUGAUAAUAAUAAUAAUGAUAUGAUAAUGAUGAUAAUAAUUUGAACAACAACAACAACAAUAAAUAAUAAUAAUAAUAAUGAAAAUAAUAACUAUAAUUUUAACAACAAUAAUAAUCAUUAAUAUUAUUAUUGUUAAAAUUAUUAUUAUUAUUAGAUAAUUAUUUUGAAUAAUAAUAAUCACAAGUCUAUUCUGAUUCCAGUUUAUUCCGAUUAUCGAUUAGAAAAUGCAUCAUUACUGUUUUAAUAAUAACUAAUAAUUCUCUUGACAUCAUAAUCGUAAUUCUUAUACUAUUAUCCUUAUUUUAAAAUCCACUACCAUGAGCUUGCAUCAUUUGAAAUGGUAGGUACUAGGUAGCAAUUGCUUACAUCAAAAUAUCUAGACUCACUCGGCAAAGUAUCCGAGGCCAAAACGCCAAAAGAUGGGACACCCACAUGUGCAUCUAAUUACAAAAUCUAAAGUUAAUGAAAAAGAAAAAAGAAAAAGUAUAAAUGAACGGUAUUGGCUGUAGGACAAGGGGAGGGGAAAAAGGACCAUUUUGUUUUCUUUGCUAAUUCACAUGGGGAAGGGAAAAAAAGAAAAAGACAGUUUUGAUUAAAAAACACAGAAUAUUCAAUUCACAAGCCACCAAUGCUUGUGGACCAAUGGUCGAUAUAUGAAAGUUAGAGAUUCUGGCAAAAUGAGCAAAUAUUUUGAGUUGAUUAAUGGAUUUGUUUGUAAUGCAAUACAAGAUAGCAUUUUAAAGCUGGCAAGAAAGAAAGAAAUAAGUCAAUAAUUGAGAUAUUUAAAGAAGCUCAAGUGGUCAUGAAAUCUCUCCUUAAAAACUAUACAAGAUAAUGUUAAUGAUAAAGUUAGCCAACCAAGUCGUUCAAUCAUUGCUAGAAGCAAGCAGCCAUUGAAGUUGAUAGAAGCUAAUGCAUGGAAAAAGGUUCGUUACAUAAAGGAGAUAAUGAGAAAAUUGAUGAACCCCUAUCAUCCAUGUUUUGUUUCAAUCAAAAGGUUUGAAUUUUAAGGCCGAUAUUUUGGACUGAAUCCCCCUGUCUGCUUCCAAAGGGGAGGAUGUGCAUGUAGUUGAUUGGGCCGAUGAUUGUGAUGGGAGGGAACUUUUAGCUUGGAAAUGGACCUAGCAAGCCCAUGUUUGAUUCGGUAAGUUGUGACUUCUCAUGGGCAUUUGAAAUUUUUAAAUGGCCUUUUAUAACCUUUGUCAAGAUUCUCAGAAAUCGAAUCAUUCGGUGAUUACUUGCAAAUUCGGAAAGGAAAUUGGAAUCAAACUGGGGUUCUAAUUAAAAAAAAAAAGGGUUCAGAAUCAGAAUUUUGUUCUUUUGACUGACUAAACUACCCUCAUUUAAUUUUCAAAAUGCCCAAAUUUUUAUCAUGCUCACUUGGCGUUAUCUCGUCUUGUGGGAGCUGUAGGACAGUUGAGAUAAAAGAUAUUGCUCCAGUAUCUACUGUUUUCUCAUCCUGAUCUUCAGAGUUAUUCUCAACAAUGGACAAAUUUGAGUUUAGAACAGCAUCAGAAACCAAUGACACCCAGUCGCAUCCAGCUACUUCUUCACUUUGCUCAAUUCGACAGAUUUUACGCAAAUUUGUUUUGUUCUCAAAAUAGUCUGCUGCUCCCGGAUUGUCCUCAUUACAUUGAACGAAUGAUGACGACGCUCUGUCCGUUUCUGGCUCUCUGCUUUUCUCUUUCACAUCACGAGACACCUCGUUUCUAACUGGGGUACCACCAUCACAUUUAACUGUUAUUGGCAACUCAAUAGCUAAUUCCAAUGUUUCCUCAAGCAGUUUAGAGAUAAACUCUCUCGCUGAACUCCCUGGAGUAACACAAUCCAGUUUUCCAGUGCAAUCAUCAAACAGUUGAACAGCUCCUGAAUUCCCUUUGCUUUUCUUGUUUUCUUUUCCAUGUAAAGGGAGCUCAGGCUUCAAUAUAUCUGGGGAUUGAUUACUAAUGAUAAAGACAACAUGCUGUAGAGGACACAAAUUGUUAUUAAACAACGAUGCACUUUUCAUUUUUCAACUGAGUACGGUAAAGCAAGAAUGGGUAAUUAGUUUUACCUGCUAAGCGAAAAUCUACACUCCCGAAGGUAACCGAUCUUGGGUGAAGCAAAUAAAGACGAAGGCGAAGUAAAAUUCACUGAGUUGAAUGAGCGAUCAUUGCUGAUAUAAUUAAAGACUGGUGAAUCCUGCAUGUUGACAAGCAUCAUUUUUAAUCUAACAUAGAGUCUUAAAAACCUGGUCAGUGGCAAAUGAUCACGACAACAAAUCUGAAGUACAAACAGCAGAGCUCAACAAAUCACUAAGAGAAAAUAACACCAGUAACCAAGCAGAUGAAAGAAAAGCAAAAUAAUCCAUCUCAAAUCACCACAUGCACAAUUUAAGGGGGUUGUGACAUGGGUUUAAGCAUGAUUUAACAAGUGCCACCAGUGAAUUCUCAGAUUGAAUUUUCAUACACAUGUCAAAUUUUCAAGUCCAACGAAUUGUUAUCUUUCUGAAGAUAUUAACUAUGCAUAGCAUGCUAUAAACAAAUCAUAUUAUUAGGGCCUUUGUUUGCUGUACACAACAUAUGUACAGAGGAACAAAUCCAUGAGCUGAAAUCAUCAUAUUCCAAAAUAUUCUACCCAAUCAACACUACAAAACCGUAACGCUAAACAGAAUUGGAGCAAUUUAAGAAAGCUAUUUGUCACACAAAGCACUAGUACCUCAGAACCCAAUUUGCAAAAAAGCAACAAAAAUGAAAAAUAACAAAUGCCCAGAUGCAAAAUCAGGAAAAAAUGCUCAAAUACAAACUACAACCCCAUAAGCUGAGAUUGACCUCAAACUUGGAAACAGAAGCGACAGUGAUCUGUUUCUUGUCUGGAGUGUCCAUUUCUAUAAUCUACUUUGUCCGUUUUCAGUCGCUCCGCCACAAAGCCUCUUCACUCCGAAGCUGAAACUCGCCACACACUUGCAAAACGAAAGCAUUUGAUUGAUUGAGAGGCGGGAAGGCGGGAAAACGAGCGAAAUUUGCUUUUGUUUUUUCUUCGUUUGGUCAUACAUGUGCGGGCCCCCCAGGUUGACAAGCGUUAUCAUUACUAUUUGCAUUAUUUGAAGGACGCGUGUCAUGCAACGACGAUAGAAAAAGUGGUGCAAAACUCCAAUUGUCACGAAAUGAUGAUAAAAUAAAAAUAUAUCGUUAAUUUUUCACUUAACAUUGGAAUAUCAUAUAAUUUUAUGGUCAUUUUCUCGCCGCCACAUUCUUUUGAUAAAAUAAUACGGUAAAACUUUUCUAUAAUCAUGAUAUUAGAACCCAAUUAACUUUGUUUCUACAAAGAGGUUAUAGCUUAAUAAAGUAAAAUUGUAAAAAAUAUUAUUUUGACUUAAUUAUCUAAAGAGUAAAUAUAUAAUAAUUAAUUAAUAAAUUAUGUCAAAUACAAUAUAUGGACUAUGAUAAAAAAGAUAGACAUAAUUUCAUAAAAUUAAUACAUAUGUUUUUGUAGUGCUGCGAUUAUACAAAGUUAUCUUAAAAGUGUAAAGAGUAAAGUAUUGUUUUAAUUAAUUUAAAAAAAUAUUUUAUUAUUAACCUUUAAUGCAACAUAGUAAUUUUUUUUCCCUGGCAACAAAGUAUUGUUCCAAAUAAUUAUUAUUGGAUCUAGAUCCUGCCCUAGGCAUUUUCUCUACUAAUCCUCAUAAACUUUUAGGGUAUGUUUGGCACGUAAGAUUAGAUUGGACAAACUAUUAUGAUUGGACUAACUUAGAAUGGAUUAGAUUAGAUUGGAUUAUAUAUAGUGCUGACUUAUGUUUGGUAUGGUAUUGGAUUAGAUUAUGUUAAAUUAAAUUUACAUAAAAUUAAAUAGUAUUUACAUUAAUAUUUGAAUUUAAAUAUCAACUAUUUAUAGAUAUUUAACAAGAAAUAUUAUAAUUAAUUAAAAAUAGCAAUUGGGUAGUCAUAAUUAUAAUAAAGAAAUAUAAAUUAUUUAAAUUAUAGGUUAUUUCAAAGAGUGAUGAUACAACCACAAAUUCUUGUACAAACUGAUUUGGCAUUAAUUCAUUUAUUGAAUGAAAAUAUAAAAUAAUAAAAAUAAAUCAUGUGGGCCCAAGAUAUAUUUAAUUCAACCAAUUUUAUCAUGCCACAUCAGUUUGUACAAAAAUUUGUGAUUAUAUUAUUACUCUAUUUCAAAUGAGAGAUAUCAUUUCAUUGAAUAAAAUAAAUAAAAUUAUUCAAAUAAUAAAUUAAUUAAUAAAAUUUAAGUAAAUCAUGAAUAAAAAAGAAAUCAAUUAAUUAAAAACAGUAAAUAAUUAAAUAAUUUUUAAUUUAUAAAUAAAAUGGUAUAAUAAAUUAUGGAAGAUACUAUAAAUACACAAAUAUUUUUUUCACAUUAUCUAGUUCUAACUAAACACACAUAAAAAUUAGGAUUAGCAAUCCCAUGAAUUUAGGAUUAAAAUUUGAAUUUAGUCGAUUAAUCCAAUACAAGUGAGCAUGCUAAAUAUGGUAUUAAUAUUUUAUCCCAGUAAUAAGUCCAAUUCUACACUUAAUCGUACCUCCCAAAUAUAAUCUUAAGGAUCUAUUGACAUGUGUCAUUAAUGAAAUUAAAUGGCUAAGAUUUUGUUUUAAUUAUUUUUUACCUAAAUAGACAUCAAAACUCAUGUGUGACUCUUGUUAAAUUUUUUCUUACAAAUUCUUUUCCUCUUAAUUCUUUAUAUUUUGACACUAAUUUCCAGCAAAUUAUUUAAAAAAAAGGAGCACAAAUUGGAAAAAAGUGAUUGACAACAAGGUUUGCAUCUUAAUUUCAAAAUUUUCCUUUCUUUGAUGUUUUUGUGGUUUCUAUAAUUGUUGUUUUCACUCUAAGUUGCAAUUCAAUGAACUAAAUUAGUGUUGCUACUUUAUAAACUGCUAUUACUGGGCAUAUAAUUCUAUUGCUACAAUUUUUUUGAGUUUAUAGUUUCUGUUCUAUUCUCUUUUUGGGUUUGCAACUGCUGUUUGUUGUUUUUUUAGGUUUUAUAGUUGAUGUUUUGGGAAAAAUAAAAAUAAAUGUGAUCUUGAAUUCUUUAACUACUAUGAAACAAUUAAAUUAUUUAGCUGCUGCAUUUUCUGCUGUAUUAUUAUAGGCGAGAUGUGUGUCGAAAGGGAAAGAAUUUGCCUAAAAAAAAAAAUUGACAAGAGUCACAUGUGAGUUUAGAUGUCUUUUUUAAGUAAAAAUUAAUUAAAAUUAAAUAUUAGCCAUUAAUAACACAUGUCAAUAAAUUUUUCAAAGUCUAAGAAGAUUGGAAGAGGAUCCGAUCUAUUAUUUACUCUAUAAAAGGAAGUUCCUUGAAGACAAGAACUAUAAAUAAAUUAAUAUAAUGAAUUUAUUCUUAACCUAGUCUAAAUUGAGACUAAAAUUUUUUACUUAAAAAUUUACUAGCUAGCUUUACCUUGAUGGACUAGCUAUGGCCCAUACACAUUUCUCCAAUUUUAUUAAUAUUUUUGUGCAUAGCAAUUAGGGAUACGUGACAAUAAAUUAUCCUUUUAACAUAUAAAAAGUAUUCUCACAAGUAGUGUGCCCCUCCAAAGGGCACAGACAGACUUUUAGCCUCUUUCUUCGGUUUACCACUCCAGUUGGAAUCUUCAAUAAGAUUAAACAUUGAAUAUAUCUAAAAUAUUAGCAAUAUUUGUACUUAUAUUUAACAAAACUAGAGUAAUAUAUUGAUUAAUCUACAUAAUUUUGGGCGGGUUCUUAUGUAAUGUUACAAUUAACAUAGAUUAUUUUCACGGUAUAAGGCAAAUCUUGAGAAUGAACCCAUUUCAAUAUGGUUUCCACAAUAAAUGAACCCACUUUACUACCAAUGAAAGGCCUUGACUCAUAUAUAUCCACCUGGAAAGAAGGGGGGGGGGGGGGAGAGAAGAAAUCUUCUAAUUUCUUUCACCAUCAACAAAAUCAGUGAAACACAUACUAAUUCAAAAUAAAAUAAACUUUGUGAAUUGAAAUAAUGCCUGCUCUAAAGAAAAUGAUAACUGCUAUUCAUUUUUCUGAACUGCUGAUAAAAGCUUCUGCUAUUUACUUCGAAAAAAUUGAGUAACUUCAAAUUUUGAGUUUAGGCAAGAGGAUGAAUGGUAAAAGUGAGACAUUUUAGGGGAAAAGUAAAUACUUGAUAGGCCAAUGAAACAUUCAAAAGAUUGAAAUCUAAAUGAGCAAAACCUCAUGGCCUUGAGGCCCUUGAUCCAACAAUUCCACUGCUGUUGACAUGCCUGCAAGCCCAACUCCAAUAAUAGCCACUUUCAGCUUUGGUCCUCUAUAAUGUUCCGGUUCUGGUGGAAACAAACACUUGGGAGCUGCCAAGUAUACCAUUCAAUUAUCCACAGCGAUAUUGGAAAAACAUACAUGUUUGAAAGUACUAAAUAUCAAAUGUCUCCCGAAAAAAAUACAAAGCACAAUUGCAUAAGCAUUUCAUUUCCCAAUAAAUUUCAAGAAUACAAAAUACUUGGUCUGUUCUUGAGUUCCUUUAAGAAAAUUUCCACGAGAGAGCACGCAAGCCACUCAAUAACACUCCAAAGUCAGAUUUUAAACGUUAUCUUGAUCUAUAAGUACAAUCCAUGAACCAUUCUGCCACAAAUUCAAUUAAAAAUUAUUCAAGUAAAAUGCCAAAUUCUCCUUCAAUAGCCUCAAAAAUUCAUAACUAGCAAACACUACAGAACAAAAAGAGCUCCCAGCAAUAAACGCAUAAAAAUCCCACCAGAAACCAGAAAACCCAAAAGAUCAAUACUUGGUAAACAAACAAAUCAAAUCAAAUAAAACAAAAAGAAGAGAAAUUUACCAUUAACACUCAUAUCAGAAACGUUAGUAUCCAAAGAAGCCCGUACACAGAAUCUUGGAACCUUCACUUGAACCCGAGACCAACAAACACCAGUAACUGAAGUUGCAGGAAACAGAAGUGAAGAACCCAUAUUGAAAUAAAAGAAUCCAAACCCAAAGUGCCACAUCUAAAUAUGAUGGAUCCACUUAAAAUAAACAUAUAAAAAUCUUCAAUAUGAGUGCGAAAAUGUGUGGGGGAAAAAACUAAAAAGUGGUUUACCAUGCAGCAAUAUGAAUUUUAAGCUCUCUUUUCUUAUGUCACUCAAGGCAUUGGCUGGAUGGCCAAACAGCAGAGUUCAAGUGUACAAUAGAGAAUCGAAAUUUUCCUUUGUAAAUGUUCAUAAGUAUUUACCACAGAUUUUUAAGUUAUUCUUGAUAGAUCCCCUACCACAUACGCUAUAAUAUUUCUCUCCUUUUAAUUUAAAAGUAAAUCAUGCAUAAUAACGCACUUGUAAAGAAAUGAAAUUUUCGGUAAUUAACUGACAAAAUAAAAAAAAAGGAUUAUGCGAAAGAAGUUAAUAUAGAGUAAGUCGAGUACUUGACAAUCAAAGUAAUUUACUCGAGGUUGAGUAAGGAUAGUACGAUACUUUCUCAAGUUUUCUGAGGACAUUCAUGUGACAUUGGACUAUUGAUUAUAGUUAGAGAGAAGUCCAAGGAUGUAAGUGAUGAUGAUAGAUUCAGAAUUCUUUUGAAGAAAAUAUUUUAUAUAAACUUAAUUAUAUGGUAUAAAAUGAUUGGCCUUAAUAAAAUUAAAAAAUAAUAAAAAUAAUACACGCCUGGGUCAUGCAAUAUUUUCAACCAACUAAUUUACACGCAAAAUUAAAACUUUAUGAGUACAUUUAUUUGCUAGCAGAAACUCUGCCAAAUUUUCCGAAAUGUGAAAGUGAACACUUUUAACAGCGGCACAAAAUGCCUGUGAUAAUGAAACAAUGUGCCAUCCUUAAACUAAUAUUAUUAGAAACUAUAAGUGAAAGUUUUCAGAAAACAUGUGAUAAGUUUUUCUCGGAAUUUGUUUUCUCCUUUGUUUUGAUUUACGCGAGAGAUAGUUGUAAAGAUUGUUUUGAUAAGUUUUCAGAAAACAUGUGACGAAUCGUAGUAAAAAAUUUAUACAUAAUAAUUGAAUGAGAUCCAUGGUUCACAAUUGCAAAUUAAAGGUUGGUUUUAUAAUAAAAAUCGUUUUGUGCAUACCAAAUUAGAAAAGAUUAUAAGUAAAUUAAGAUUUUCAAAAUUUGACUAGUACUAUAUUACGUACAUCAAUAUAAUAUAAAUUUGUUAUAUUUAUAUAUGUUAUUCUGUAACUAAUGCUUUCAAAAAUUUUAUACUUGUAUGUUUGAACAACUUUUUUUCGCUUUCUAUUUAUAUACGAUAUUAUUUAUGUUUACAUAAAUUUUCAUAUGUACCCAAAUUAAGUAUUAAAUACACACACUCUGGUAAGACACAUUUCUAGUAUCAGACAAUGAUAUUAUAUUGAAUGUAAUGCUUCAAUGAAUUUUAUUACUAUAUACUAAAAUACUCAACGAUCUUCAUUAAAAAAAAAAAAAAGAAAUUGCAUGAUUAGAAUGAUUAAAGUUCAUUUAAUGACGAGUUUCAUCAUUGACUGUGUCGAAACAGAACAGCAAUCCACAAUACACUCAACACGAGAGGCGCACACAAGCAUGCAUGAAUCUUCCACCAUUAAACCUGAAAUCAUAAAAUGAAAGAAACAAGGUGAGUGUUGUUUUACGGUCUGAAAGCCGAUUCGAAAUAAUAAUAAUAAUAGACCUUUGUUAAUAGUUACUACUAGUGGUCACUGCCUUGUCCAUCUUCCUUCUCUGUAUUAUCGUCCUCUUCCAAGCCGCUGUCAUCUGACCAAACCCCAGCAACCAUGGGAAAAAUCACCUACUUGUUUUAGGAGCAGGAGCAGGAGCAGGAGGAGGAAAUUAAGUUAGGGAUUUGGAGUGAUAGGGAAAAAGCUGAUUGUUGAGAAAUAUGUAUACCUUUUGUAUGGUUGUGUUAAGGUCGCCCUUCCAAGCCCAACGUGCUUCACUCCGCCGCUGCACUUCGUGUAAUUUGGGUGUACUUAAAUUUCCUUCAGAGAAAAUCUUCAUAUCGGGGCAAUCAUCCACCACUAAUAUUUCCAAAGAUGGGAACUUGAAAGCACAAUUGCCAGAGCAGAAGCUUGUCAAACUUUUUAAGUCUAAAAGCUUCAACUCCUUCAAUUCUCUGAAAGUAAUAACCUCAUCUUUUGCCACAACAUCAUCCACCAAUACUAUUUCUGUUAUCAUAACGCAUGAUUUUAUCUUCAUAUAUCUAAGUCGCACCAGAGACUUUGCAAUUGAGGAUGUUAAUACGAUUUUCAAUCUUUCGCAACUGAAUACCACCAGAUUUGUAAGAUUCUGAAAGGAUGUCGACGAUGGCACUAGAUUGACCAAACGGUCACACCCCUUUACACGUAGAAUAACCAAGUUGUUCGUAACAGAGGACUCCCUUAUCAAAAUGUUCUCCAGAUGAUAACAAUUAUUUGCUUCACUUAUUUCUACUGCCAUACCAUUUUCAACCUUCUCUUUCGGCGACCGGCCACCAUAUCCUUGUAUUUGGAGGACUUUCAUUGUGUGAAGUCUCUGGAGGAAGUCAUCAAGUGAUACAAUAGUCGGCUCAUCAACCAACUCCACAAAAAGAUAUUUUAGUUUGCAAAGCAAGUCUUCAAAAAAUAGAUAUUUAUUUGUUCCUAUGUACUUUGCAUCAACUUUCAACUCUUCCAAAUUAGGGAAUACCUGGGAGAUCGAUCAGAACCAAAAAAAAAAAAAAUACAAGAUGAAUCAGUUGAUGAGAAUUAUAAGUUACCACUAAUUUAUACAAUAUAUUUUAUUCAAUAAAUCAAUAAAUACAAGAUAAACUUUCACAGUACAUACAUAAGAAUUGAAAAAUUGAUUAUAAAACUCUUGUACGUACCCUUUCCGUCAAGAUAUUAGUAGUUCUUUUGCAUCUCGCCAUGAAUUCAGGACAUCCAGAUAUCCCUAAUUCUUUCAAGGAUGGAAAUUCAAGAUUAUCAAGAUCUCCAGUGCAGAAGCUUGUGAACUUUUCAAGAUCAGACAUCCUCAGAGAUUGCAACUGGGGAAACGUUACAAUAUUAUUCUUCAUUUCUUCUUGGUUGUCCACGACUAUUAACUCUUCCAGGACAGGACAUUUGACUAUCAUAAUGUGUUGGAGUCGAACAAAGCUACUAACUGUACAAGAUGAAAAUAGACAUCUUAAAUUCAUACAGCUGUACAGGGUCAAGCGCGUUAAAUUCUGAAUACCACAAGACAUGACUGCAACUUGGUUCAGCCAAAUCCUCUCAACAUUUAUUGAAUACAACAUCAACUCCUCCAAAUUUGGUAAUGCAACCUGCACGAUCAAAAAAUUAACUUGUUAAUUACAAGCAACAAUGAUUUCUGUUGAUGGACAAAUCAAUAAAAUUACUCUUUCUCUGUUUAUAGUUCUUUUCAGUUUUUCAUACAAACAACCGUUAAUCAAGUUUUCCAAAUUAUUCCUUACUAAAUUUUGGUUGAUUCGCAAUAGGACCUACUAUCCAGCGCGAGCAGUUCUCGGGGAUUUAACUACUGGCACCUCGAUUAUAUAAAAAUUUAGACGGCGGCUAAUAUAAUUUAUAUGUAUUCUAAUGACGUAUAUUAAAGAAAAUGAUUAACCAUAAUUUCAAUCAACUUAUUAGUCUAUAUAUAUAUAUAUAUAUAUAUAUAAUAUUCAGCGAUUACAACAUAUUUAGUAUUCCAUAACAUGAUGUUUAUAAUAAUAAUUAUUAUUAAUUCACUUAUUGUGUCAGAGUAUCUUUUCUUUCUCUAAGAAUGUAUUUGUUACACCCUACUAUACUUCGGAUGAAAAAUUUAGAAUAAUUGUGAAAUAUAAUUAUUAAUCACUCUUUGCCAUAUUUGUUACCAAACAGGAAUAUAACAAAGAAAAAAAACAAAAAUUAUAGAGAAUUAAUAAGACGAUUGACUUAUUAAUAACUGACCUUCUCAGGGAAAAGUGUAUUAUAAAUUUGGACAUUGUCCUCCAAAAUGAUUUCAUGUGACUGCAAAUCAUUAGCUGAUUCCUCUUGUCUCUGUUGACAUUGCAGGUAUCUUGAUUUUAGAGUGUAAACUUAAUUGUGAGCACAAUCUUAAUGCAUAGAUACAAGAUCUUUAAAAAUUAGUAUAAGAAACUUAGCACUAAAUCCAAAUUUGAUAUUUUGGAUUCCAUGAUUAAGAUUUUUUAAAUAAAAAUUUAAUAGAGUUAAUUUAAAAAUAAAAAUUAAAUAUGAAAAAUAAACUUGCAAUUAUGGAUUUAAUUUUAAUAAAUAAUGAAUGUUCUCUUUAUAUUUUUUUUAAAAGGUAAAAGAGCGUACAAAGCCCAAAUUCAUUUUUUUAAGUCCUUUACUCUCCCAUGAUUCAAACUUGGGUGGUUGUAGGAGGACUGCAAAUAUAUAAGACAGUUAACUUCACUUUUUUUUUCUUUUUUUUUUUGUUGAGAGAAAAGAGAAGAAGGAUAUUACAAAGCAUGAAGCUCGUGCAAUAUAAGGGCAAUUAUGGUUUUUUCUUUAAAUUAAAAUGGUAAGAUUCUGAAGCUAAAAGAUUAAAAUAUUAAUUAAAUUGCAAACAUUAAAGAUUUUUUUUGCAAAUGGUUGCUUUUAAAAUGAGAAUAAUAUAAUAUUUGAAGACUUUUCAAAAUUAAUUACUGUGAUGCACUAGAAAUUUCUAGCUUUAGUCUAAUGUAUAAAUUGACAAAACGAUAUUCGAAUCCCAGGUGAAAAGAACCCUCUCAUACCAAUUAUUUAAAUUAGGAAUGAUCAUACCUUUGACUCUGCCGGAUUGAGGGCGAGCCAGAGACGCUUGAGAUGGGAAGAGCCCACUUUGACUAAUUCAUUACGAAAAUAAUCGACAUCUUGCUCUUGCAAUCGCCAUAACUCAAGGUCUUCAAUUCUCUGCAGUUGCACGAUCAGCGAAUCCUUCAAGCAAAUCUUGUUAUUUAGCUCGAGACUGAAUUCACGACACCCAAUGCCGGUGCUCUCCCAAUAGCCAUCAUCUCCAAUGCGUAUGCUGUACCUUUCCAGCUUCUCCAAGAGCAGGCCUCUGGGCAGAGUGCUGACGUCACGGGCGCGUAAUUCCAAAGAGGUCAAGUUGGGCAAAUGCUUCAACUCCUCAAGGCUUGCAUUCUUAACCCCUUCUUCCACCUCCACCUCCCAAGCAGCAAAGCUUUGACCUAUAUAUAGUUCUUCUAAACGGGAUAAUUUUGACAGUAUAUUUGGUGGAAU